RNAcentral lists this long non-coding RNA (244 nucleotides) under Vigna radiata. RNAcentral's name for it is "long non-coding RNA (VRAD_LNC015424)". Lineage: Eukaryota; Viridiplantae; Streptophyta; Magnoliopsida; Fabales; Fabaceae. The record is from RNAcentral.
GCAUAUCAACUGUUCGAUAAAUUUUCUCUAAGAAAAUUAAUUUUCUAAAAUAGACCAUUGUAGCUUGAGUUAUGACCGAACACGCUUUCCACUUCUUAUUUUAUUCCGUUGCGCGACUCUAUUCGGUACCGAUUGUUUCGACAACAAUGAGUACAACCUGUUAUGUAUUGAACAGAACUAUGAUAAGAUCAAUACUGAAAGUAACUCCAUGAGUUGUUCAAGGGAAGAAAGCCUAACAUCUCGC